UGGAGGUGAUGAGCUCUCUUAGCCUGACCUUGUAGAGUGGAGGCAAAAAAACUGAUUUAAUGAGCCUGAUCC
RNAcentral lists this small nucleolar RNA (72 nucleotides) under Camelus dromedarius (Arabian camel). The record is from RNAcentral. Lineage: Eukaryota; Metazoa; Chordata; Mammalia; Artiodactyla; Camelidae.